AGCGGGGUAGAGUAAUUGGUCAACUCAUCAGGCUCAUGACCUGAAGACUGCAGGUUCGAAUCCUGUCCCCGCCU
Molecule: transfer RNA, 74 nt
Filed under: Glycine max (soybean)
Lineage: Eukaryota; Viridiplantae; Streptophyta; Magnoliopsida; Fabales; Fabaceae
Also listed under: 1 other name
Description: tRNA-fMet
Rfam family: tRNA
About the family: Transfer RNA (tRNA) molecules are approximately 80 nucleotides in length. Their secondary structure includes four short double-helical elements and three loops (D, anti-codon, and T loops). Further hydrogen bonds mediate the characteristic L-shaped molecular structure. tRNAs have two regions of fundamental functional importance: the anti-codon, which is responsible for specific mRNA codon recognition, and the 3' end, to which the tRNAs corresponding amino acid is attached (by aminoacyl-tRNA synthetases). tRNAs cope with the degeneracy of the genetic code in two manners: having more than one tRNA (with a specific anti-codon) for a particular amino acid; and 'wobble' base-pairing, i.e. permitting non-standard base-pairing at the 3rd anti-codon position.
Source: RNAcentral